UACGUAGGGUGCAAGCGUUAAUCGGAAUUACUGGGCGUAAAGCGUGCGCAGGCGGUUUUGUAAGUCUGUCGUGAAAUCCCCGGGCUCAACCUGGGAAUUGCGAUGGAGACUGCAAGGCUAGAAUCUGGCAGAGGGGGGUAGAAUUCCACGUGUAGCAGUGAAAUGCGUAGAGAUGUGGAGGAACACCGAUGGCGAAGGCAGCCCCCUGGGCCAACACUGACGCUCAGGCACGAAAGCGUGGGGAGCAAACAGG
Molecule: ribosomal RNA, 253 nt
Filed under: uncultured bacterium
Lineage: Bacteria
Description: partial 16S ribosomal RNA
Rfam family: Bacterial small subunit ribosomal RNA
Source: RNAcentral